AGAGUUUGAUCCUGGCUCAGGAUGAACGCUGGCGGCGUGCCUAAUACAUGCAAGUCGAGCGAACAGACGAGGAGCUUGCUCCUUUGACGUUAGCGGCGGACGGGUGAGUAACACGUGGAUAACCUACCUAUAAGACUGGGAUAACUUCGGGAAACCGGAGCUAACACCGGAUAAUAUUUUGAACCGCAUGGUUCAAAAGUGAAAGACGGUCUUGCUGUCACUUAUAGAUGGAUCCGCGCUGCAUUAGCUAGUUGGUAAGGUAACGGCUUACCAAGGCAACGAUGCAUAGCCGACCUGAGAGGGUGAUCGGCCACACUGGAACUGAGACACGGUCCAGACUCCUACGGGAGGCAGCAGAAG
This 360-nucleotide ribosomal RNA is filed under the name uncultured Staphylococcaceae bacterium. RNAcentral's name for it is "bacterial SSU rRNA". It matches the Rfam family "Bacterial small subunit ribosomal RNA", at positions 8 to 357 of the family's 1533-position model. The record is from RNAcentral. Lineage: Bacteria; Bacillati; Bacillota; Bacilli; Caryophanales; Staphylococcaceae.